Molecule: ribosomal RNA, 1243 nt
Filed under: human gut metagenome
Description: bacterial LSU rRNA
Rfam family: Bacterial large subunit ribosomal RNA
Source: RNAcentral
UACCCUUGGCCAGGAUGAAGUCUGGGUAACACCAGAUGGAGGUCCGCACCAAUAAGCGUUGAAAAGCUUCUGGAUGAACUGAGGGUAGGGGUGAAAGGCUAAUCAAACUUGGAGAUAGCUCGUACUCCCCGAAAUGCAUUUAGGUGCAGCCUUUAUUUAGUAUAGCAUGAGGUAGAGCGACUGAUUGGAUGCGAGGGCUUCACCGCCUAUCAAGUCCAGAUAAACUCCGAAUGCGUGCUAUAUAUUGAUAAGGAGUGAGGGCGCGGGUGCUAAGGUCCGCGUCCGAGAGGAGAAGAAUCCAGACCAUCAGCUAAGGUCCCCAAAUAACAGUUAAGUUGAACUAACGAAGUCGGACUGCAGAGACAGCUAGGAUGUUGGCUUGGAAGCAGCCAUUCAUUUAAAGAGUGCGUAACAGCUCACUAGUCGAGGAGUCCGGCGUGGAUAAUACUCGGGCAUAAACUGUUUACCGAAGCUAUGGAUGUAGAAAUACAUGGUAGGGGAGCAUUCCAACGGCGUUGAAGGUGAAGGAUGACCUUUGCUGGAGCUUUUGGAAACGCAAAUGUAGGUAUAAGUAACGAUAAAGGAGGUGAGAAACCUCCUCGCCGAAAGACUAAGGUUUCCUGAUCAACGUUAAUCGGAUCAGGGUAAGUCGGGACCUAAGGUUAAGCCGAACGGCGAUACCGAUGGAAGAAUGGUUUAAUAUUCCCAUACUACUUUAUGGAGCGAUGUGGAGACGGAGAAGUGAAAGUCCUGCCAUCUGACGGAAUAGGUGGUUGAAGAGUGUAGAUGUAGAUUCCUGUAGGCAAAUCCGCAGGGAGAGUCGACCUUGACAGUAUGCCGCGUGCUUGCACAAGGCAAAAUGGACGUAAUCAGGCUCCCAAGAAAAUCCGCUAAGCAUAUUCAUAAAGUACCCGUACCGUAAACGGACACACGUAGUUGGGUUGAAAAUACUGAGGCGCUCGAGUGAUUCACGGUUAAGGAACUAGGCAAAUUGACCCUGUAACUUCGGGAUAAAGGGUCCCUACUGAGAGGUAGGGCGCAGAGAAUAGGUCCAGGCAACUGUUUAACAAAAACACAUGGCUGUGCGAAAUAGAAAUAUGAAGUAUACAGCCUGACACCUGCCCGGUGCUGGAAGGUUAAGAGGAGAGCUCAUCGCAAGAGAAGGCUUGAAUUGAAGCCCCAGUAAACGGCGGCCGUAACUAUAACGGUCCUAAGGUAGCGAAAUUCCUUGUCGGGUAAGUUC